UAGACCUACGGGAGGCAGCAGUGGGGGAUAUUGCACAAUGGGGGGAACCCUGAUGCAGCGACGCCGCGUGGGUGAAGGAGUGCUUCGGCAUGUAAAGCCCUAUCGGCAGGGAAGAAGCAAGACGGUACCUGACUAAGAAGCCCCGGCUAACUACGUGCCAGCAGCCGCGGUAAUACGUAGGGGGCGAGCGUUAUCCGGGUUCACUGGGUGUAAAGGGAGCGUAGACGGCACUGCAAGUCCGGAGUGAAAGCCCACAGCCCAACUGUGGGAC
Molecule: ribosomal RNA, 271 nt
Filed under: uncultured bacterium
Lineage: Bacteria
Description: partial 16S ribosomal RNA
Rfam family: Bacterial small subunit ribosomal RNA
Source: RNAcentral